AAAUAGGUCGGCUAGGGUUCCGGUCCGCUUCUGCGGGCGUCUGGACCGAGAGCCGGCGACCUCCAGUUCGAGGUUACACGGCGGGAUAAAAGCCCGGGAGAC
This 102-nucleotide small RNA is filed under the name Pseudomonas putida. RNAcentral describes it as "Guanidine-I sequence". It matches the Rfam family "Guanidine-I riboswitch aptamer". Rfam says of the family: This family represents a conserved RNA structure found upstream of the ykkC and yxkD genes in Bacillus subtilis and related genes in other bacteria. The function of this family is unclear although it has been suggested that it may function to switch on efflux pumps and detoxification systems in response to harmful environmental molecules. Lineage: Bacteria; Pseudomonadati; Pseudomonadota; Gammaproteobacteria; Pseudomonadales; Pseudomonadaceae. The record is from RNAcentral.